GAUGAACGCUGGCGGCGUGCUUAACACAUGCAAGUCGAACGAUGAAGCCGGAGCUUGCUCUGGUGGAUUAGUGGCGAACGGGUGAGUAACACGUGAGUAACCUGCCCUUGACUCUGGGAUAAGCGCUGGAAACGGCGUCUAAUACCGGAUACGAGCUUCCACCGCAUGGUGAGUUGCUGGAAAGAAUUUCGGUCAAGGAUGGACUCGCGGCCUAUCAGCUUGUUGGUGAGGUAACGGCUCACCAAGGCGACGACGGGUAGCCGGCCUGAGAGGGUGACCGGCCAAACGGGGACUGAGACACGGCCCAGACUCCUACGGGAGGCAGCAGUGGGGAAUAUUGCACAAUGGGCGCAAGCCUGAUGCAGCAACGCCGCGUGAGGGACGAAGGCCUUCGGGUCGUAAACCUCUUUUAGCAGGGAAGAAGCGAAAGUGACGGUACCUGCAGAAAAAGCACCGGCUAACUACGUGCCAGCCGCCGCCGUAA
This 484-nucleotide ribosomal RNA is filed under the name uncultured bacterium. Its description in RNAcentral is "partial 16S ribosomal RNA". It matches the Rfam family "Bacterial small subunit ribosomal RNA", at positions 28 to 523 of the family's 1533-position model. The record is from RNAcentral.